Molecule: long non-coding RNA, 616 nt
Organism: Lepidothrix coronata (blue-crowned manakin)
Lineage: Eukaryota; Metazoa; Chordata; Aves; Passeriformes; Pipridae
Exons: 4
Source: RefSeq, a predicted model, not a curated record
AUCAGACUGGAGCCAUGAGGGAGCACAGGGCAGGCGAUGAAGGAAGGGCGAUGAUGCCACAUCGUGAUUCCCACCAGAAACAUCCAGCCUCGGGGACGUGGAGGACACCACCAGCCCAUGGGGCUGAGGCAGUGGCCUCGAGAGGGGGAAUAAAAUGCUCAGCUGUCAGCUACCUGAAAGGGCAGUGCAAGACCGAGGCAAGGACCAGCUGCUCCUUUGGCUCCGUGUGCAGGUGCCCACACAGCCAGGGUGCUCUACACUUGAUGCAUCAUCUUUUGACAGACACAGGGCAAACUCUGCUCCUCCCUUCUGGCCUGGGUUGCAAUGAUGGAUUAAGGAGGGCAGAUAGCAGGAGUCCUGGUGCAAACAACACAUUCGAAGUGAACCCAUGGACGAGUUUGCUUGUGUGUAGAAGAGAUUGCUGAUGACAGGAAUUCUCCAUCCAGGACCUCUGAACUGAGCAAUGACAAGCUGUCCUGUUCUGCCCUGUGAAGGUGGGACAUCUGGUUCCUUCUUCAGGUCUCCUCCUCCCUGUGGCUCUGUCUCCUGCAUGUCACCCCCUCCCUCGCCCUGCUCUGGUGUCCAUGUGAUCCACUGAUGGCCUGCACCUCUGCAU